UUAUUCAUCCACCAACAUUAUGACUCGAACACUCUUUGUGCUGGGGUUUCUGCUCAUCUGUGUCGCUGCAGAUUCUGCUGGAAAGUCUGGACUCUUGAGAAAGACUUCUUGUCCUACUCGAAGGGUGAACAGGAUUUGCCCAAUGAACUUUGCCCCUGUGUGUGGCAGUGACGGAAACACUUACUCCAAUAUGUGUGUCCUCUGCACAAAAAAGGACAUCAUGUUCGUCAGGGAGGGACGCUGUUGAUCUGUGCAGUUGAUAAAAUCAACACUAUGAAGCAAACUGGAAAAAUAUCUACUCUUGUCACAUUGUAAUAAAGUCUAAAUGUCUUCAAUCUUGUGACCUUCUGGUUGUUUUUCUCGGUAUUAUACAAUUUAUGCUGUAUGCUAGGUUAACAAGGAAGAGGCUAAAGAGUUACUAAGUAAAUAAACUUUAUAUGUAUGGCACUUUCACAGAUUAAAAAAAGGAUUUUACAGAAGUACAGAUGUAGGCAUAAAUAGAAUAGACCAGUACAGUGAGAACAGAUGAGUAGAACAAAAGUAGAACAUUUAACUAGAGAGGCUCUGGGAUAAGGACAGAGUAUUAUUUGAAGUCCCAGAAAGCUUCAUAAAUCCUGAAAUUGACAAAUAUACUUUAGUUUUUAAUAAAAACAUUUAGUAACACACUUAGCAAUACAAUAAACUACCAUGACCUUUGAGCAUUUUUACUGCACAAAAUUAAAAUUUUCUGCAGAGCAAUUGUGGUUUCUCGGCAGGUCAUAUCGACAUAUUUCAUGACUGAAAGAAGGAUGAAAUGAAAAAUGUAUAUGGGGAUUUUUAAAUAUCUGAAACCUAAGGUGAGCUAAUUUUUUUCACAUUUUUGCAGUGUUUUAAACUAUUUCCCAUUGCUCUAGGUACUUGUGAAAGGGUAGUCCAUUUAAACCACCUCUGGGCCUGUUUGGCGAAAAAGUCAGAUGAUGCCACAUAUACUAGUAUAUGUGUGUGUUCAAAUUAAACCUGUAUUGUUUAAUAUGAACAAUACGAGUUCAAAUUAAAAGUUUUAUUUCUAAGAUAGCAAAAAUUACUAAAAUAUUAUUGUUUACUUUCAACAAUUGUAAAACUAUACUCUGAAAUUACUUAAAAAUUGCAGUAUUUUAUGGGUUAUUGAUGACGCUUCCUCCACUAGCAUUACAUUGUUGUACAAAUCCAAUUUGCAUAACAGUAAAUACUAAGGGAGAAUAUGCUUAAGCACAACUAAAACAUGAUGUGAAUCUUGUUCACACUACUGUUCGCAAUCUCUUUUACAUCUUUUAAAAAUGCUUAAACUGCAGCAACCCCUGAAUGCCUGUGAGGGCACAUGUGCAGCAUUGCUUGAAAUUAAUUUAAAGGUUACCUCAAACAGCUUUUUCAAUUGCCUAGCAAUUAAAAAAGGCAAUAUUCUCCAUACAGAAAAUGUCUAGAAGCUGUCAUAAGCAACACAAAGUGUCCUAAGUAUUUAAUACAGUUGUUAUUCCUUGUGCUUUUCCACAUUAACUUAAUUCAUGGACUGAUUUAUUUACACUUUUUGUGUGUGCGUUGUUACAUAGAUGCUAUGUCAAUUUUAUAUCAGUAAUCCGACUGAAAACAUAACUACUGAGAAAAAUGUUGAUGUGCCAGCUGUACAGAAAAACAAAGUGAAGAAAAUAAACAAAAACUACAGUCGGGAGAAAUUUGUUGUCAAAACAUGAUUUUUUUUAUUAAUGUAAAGAAUAACUAUUCACAAUGGGUAACAGACUCAAACAGCUGUAAUACUUAAAAAUGUAAACAAAGAAUAAUAUUGAGAAUGAAAAGAGAAGAAUCACCACCCUCAUUCUGUCCUGCAUUUCUCACAACUAUUUCUGCUUCUCAAUUUCUUCACUUAUUUUCAUCACAUGUCUCUUAAAUACACAAGCCUUUGUUCUCUACUUCAAGUUUCUAGCAAACAUCUCACUGGGGUGGCGUAGCUUUGUUGUUGUGUCUGUUUUCCAGUGGAGAGAUUUUUUUCUUCUUUUACAUCUCUAAGUCUAAAAAAUGGAAACUAAGGCCUGCUAAGCCUGUAAAGUGCUCAAAUUCUUUAAAAAUCAGGGGUUUCAAGCAAGAGGAUAAAAUCCUCAGUUCGUAGUUAGUGGAUCCCAGAGAUAAUUGAAACCCCUUCCAAGAUUUUAUACAAGACAGAGCACCUGUAAUUACAAUCCACCAUCAAUUAAAAUCCUGGAUGAUUCUUUUUUUUUUUUUUUUAACUAUAAAGUCUUAAAAGCACAAUUGAAUUUACAUGGUCCUCGUUUUUAGUCUGGCUGGUUGUUUAGCUGCUAAAAACUGUUGUCUCAUCCUCAGUUGCAGUUAAUAGAUGUGGGCAGACUUUGGCAAUUUUUCCACAGGAUGAAUGCAACUUGCAGUCUAGUUAAGAAAAGAAGGAGAGUGCACACUAUUUUUUUUUUUUUACAACAACCCCAGUUGAUAAGAGAAACAGGAAUAUAUUUCAAACUGACCUGAUGGAUAAACGUUAUAAAACACUCGUUUGCUUUUGUUGAUCGGUCAGGGUUUAAAGUUUAGCUUUGUUUGGCACACAGACAGUUAGUUCACUCCAGUGUUAACAUCACAAAAUUGCAACUGUACAUAUUAUCCAUGCAGCACAGGCUCAGAUCUGAAGUGCUCCCAUCAUACCCUCUCAAAGGCCACAUCCAAAACAUUUACAUAUUUCAGAUCUAAGGUUCACACAAAUAGAGCAGCUGAUGACUCCACCUUGUGGCCGUGCAAAAAAAAAAAGAAAAAGAGAGAGAGAGGGCAGGAUGAGCAAAGCCAGAAGAGCAGAAUGCAUGUCUUAA
This is a long non-coding RNA of Poecilia latipinna (sailfin molly), 2822 nucleotides long. RefSeq lists it as uncharacterized. The transcript has 4 exons. The record is from RefSeq and is a predicted model, not a curated record. Lineage: Eukaryota; Metazoa; Chordata; Actinopteri; Cyprinodontiformes; Poeciliidae.